GCCGCCUUCUCAUGGAGGGAGCGCCACACAUUCCCAGCUCCUUUGUAUUUGAACUGGGGUCUGGUUACAUCGCCAAGCUGCCCAGGUGGGGUUGGACCUUGUGACCCUCCUGAUCCCAGAGUGCUGGGAUGACAGUGUGCACCUCCAUGUCCAGCCAGGAAACACAUUGCCCAUAACAAGAGUUUUCUAGGAGGGUUUCUAACCACAAUAUCCAUUUCUGUAGUAGAUACAGGGCUACUCAGGUUUCACAUUUCUACCUCAGUGAGCUUUCAAGGAGUUGGCCCAUUGUAUCUGCAUUGUAAGUUGCAGCAACAUAAAGUUCAAACACACCCUGAUAUUUUUAAAAAUCUGUGUGAUUUGUCAUGCUAGCAUGUCUGUCAUUCUCAGAAUGAGUAAUCUGAGUCUUUUCUUCUUUCCCCUUGAGCAGGAUAGCUGGAGGUUUGGCACCUUUAUGGCUCUCACUGACACACCAUCUAAUCUGUAUCGUCUUGCUUUUGUCUGUGUGUCGGGUACUCAGUGUUCUCUUUUGAAAUCGUGUGCAUCUAUGUUUUGAGACAGGGUCAAGCUCUUCUGCUCACCGGGCCUUGAACUGGACUCAAGGGAAUCUUCUUGCCUCGGUCUCCCAAGAACCUGAAAGGACAGAUGCGCAGCACCACGCCGAGGGCCAGACGUUUUAUAUUAUCGUGCAUCUGUCAGGAAGAUAUAAACUGACCUCUAAGCACUGCUCUGGCUGUCCACAGGCACUGCUAUCUGUUAGCAUUCGCUCAUAUUCUGUUUUGCAUUGCUGUUUAUUUUAGAACUUUUGGAAUGUGUGGACUCCUGUUAUGGCCAGCACACGGACAGUGUGUUGCUUCGUGUACCUGAGAAGAGUGUGUAUUCUGCAUCACGUGGUUCUGCGUCCUCCACUGCACAGAACCUUACUAAGUUGCCCCGAUUGGUGUGGAACUUUUAGAUUCUUCUGCCUCAGUCUCUUGAGUAGCUUGGAUUACAGGGAUGAGAUCCCUGGAGGUGAGCUCUAAUCUCUCCAUCCGAAGUGCCUAGAAAAAGAUAAAAACUCCAGUCCAUUGGAAGACACUAAUACAGGGACGUGAGUAGAAGAGAAUGACGAGG
Molecule: long non-coding RNA, 1110 nt
Organism: Fukomys damarensis (Damara mole-rat)
Lineage: Eukaryota; Metazoa; Chordata; Mammalia; Rodentia; Bathyergidae
Exons: 4
Source: RefSeq, a predicted model, not a curated record